Molecule: non-coding RNA, 97 nt
Filed under: Physcomitrium patens
Lineage: Eukaryota; Viridiplantae; Streptophyta; Bryopsida; Funariales; Funariaceae
Description: Physcomitrella patens TPP sequence
Rfam family: TPP riboswitch aptamer (THI element)
About the family: Vitamin B(1) in its active form thiamin pyrophosphate (TPP) is an essential coenzyme that is synthesised by coupling of pyrimidine and thiazole moieties in bacteria. The previously detected thiamin-regulatory element, thi box was extended, resulting in a new, highly conserved RNA secondary structure, the THI element, which is widely distributed in eubacteria and also occurs in some archaea.
Source: Rfam by way of RNAcentral
UUUCGGCACCGGGGGUGCUUGCUUCGAGCAGGCUGAGAGAGUCCCUUAAAACCUGAUCAGGAUAAUACCUGCGAAGGGAGUGUGCCUAGUGGUUGUU